Molecule: ribosomal RNA, 480 nt
Filed under: uncultured bacterium
Lineage: Bacteria
Description: SSU rRNA
Rfam family: Bacterial small subunit ribosomal RNA
Source: RNAcentral
AGGACGAACGCUGGCGGCGUGCUUAACACAUGCAAGUCGAACGGUGAUCCGCUUUCGGGCGGUGAGCAGUGGCGAACGGGUGAGUAACACGUGGGUAACCUGCCCUCCACUCUGGGAUAACUCCGGGAAACCGGGGCUAAUACCGGAUAUGACCUGAGGCGGCAUCGCCUCGGGUGGAAAGUUUUUCGGUGGAGGAUGGACCCGCGGCCUAUCAGCUUGUUGGUGGGGUAAUGGCCUACCAAGGCGAUGACGGGUAGCCGGCCUGAGAGGGCGACCGGCCACACUGGGACUGAGACACGGCCCAGACUCCUACGGGAGGCAGCAGUGGGGAAUAUUGCACAAUGGGCGAAAGCCUGAUGCAGCGACGCCGCGUGAGGGAUGACGGCCUUCGGGUUGUAACCUCUUUCAGCAGGGACGAAGCGCAAGUGACUGUACCUGCAGAAGAAGCACCGGCUAACUACGCGCCAGCAGCCGCGGUAA